RNAcentral lists this ribosomal RNA (521 nucleotides) under uncultured bacterium. RNAcentral's name for it is "partial 16S ribosomal RNA". It matches the Rfam family "Bacterial small subunit ribosomal RNA", at positions 28 to 523 of the family's 1533-position model. The record is from RNAcentral.
GACGAACGCUGGCGGCGUGCCUAAUACAUGCAAGUCGAGCGGGCCUCCGGAGGUGCUUGCACCUCCGGAAGGCCAGCGGCGGACGGGUGAGUAACACGUGGGCAACCUGCCUUUGAGGCCGGGAUAACACCGGGAAACCGGUGCUAAUACCGGAUACGUCCUCUUUCGCGCCUGCGAGAGGGGAGAAAGACGGUCUUUAAGGCCGUCGCUCAAAGAGGGGCCCGCGGCGCAUUAGCAGGUUGGUGGGGGAAGGGCCUACCAAGGCGACGAUGCGUUGCCGACCUGAGAGGGUGAUCGGCCACACUGGGACUGAGACACGGCCCAGACUCCUGCGGGAGGCAGCAGUAGGGAAUCAUCCGCAAUGGGCGAAAGCCUGACGGUGCAACGCCGCGUGAGUGAGGAAGGUUUUCGGAUCGUAAAGCUCUGUUGUGAGGGAAGAACAGCUUCCGGAGGAAAUGCCGGAGGUUUGCCGGUACCUCACCAGAAAGCCCCGGCUAACUACGUGCCAGCCGCCGCCGUAA